This 305-nucleotide ribosomal RNA is filed under the name uncultured bacterium. Its description in RNAcentral is "bacterial SSU rRNA". It matches the Rfam family "Bacterial small subunit ribosomal RNA", at positions 335 to 656 of the family's 1533-position model. The record is from RNAcentral.
UGUACCUACGGGACGCAGCAGUGGGGAAUAUUGCACAAUGGGGGGAACCCUGAUGCAGCGACGCCGCGUGAGUGAAGAAGUAUUUCAGUAUGUAAAGCUCUGUCAGCAGGGAAGAAGAAAGACGGUACCUGACCAAGAAGCCCCGGCUAACUACGUGCCAGCAGCCGCGGUAAUACGGAGGAUGCGAGCGUUAUCCGGAUUUAUUGGGUUUAAAGGGUGCGUAGGCGGUCUGUUAAGUCAGCGGUAAAAUUGCGGGGCUCAACCCCGUCGAGCCGUUGAAACUGGCAGACUUGAGUUGGCGAGAA